This 259-nucleotide long non-coding RNA is filed under the name Brassica rapa (field mustard). Its description in RNAcentral is "long non-coding RNA (BRAP_LNC000337)". The record is from RNAcentral. Lineage: Eukaryota; Viridiplantae; Streptophyta; Magnoliopsida; Brassicales; Brassicaceae.
AUAGUAUAAAGUUUUAGAUAAACAAAUAGGAAAAUUUUAGUUAAAAAAAAACACAAAUGGGAAAAGAAGACAACUACUCUCUUUCUCAUUGUAGUUCAAAAAGUAAUUAUUAAAAGUAUAUAAUAUUCGGAACCGAGAUAAUUUAUCUUAAAAAGUUUUACAAAGAAAAAAUUGUAAUUGUGGAAAUAGGAAAACUCACGGUGACUUCCUGAAUGGUGAGAGCGGUUUCAUCUUUCAUGCACCUUGAUUUGUCCACAAG